This 1167-nucleotide ribosomal RNA is filed under the name Triticum aestivum (bread wheat). RNAcentral describes it as "partial small subunit ribosomal RNA". Lineage: Eukaryota; Viridiplantae; Streptophyta; Magnoliopsida; Poales; Poaceae. The record is from RNAcentral.
AUGGCCUCCCCCUCGGAUGCCAACUCUGCCACGAGCGGAGGCACUUCGGCGGCCGCAAACCCCGCUUUGGAAGAUUUCCUCGAUCAACUGGAUCUGAACGACGAGGAGUUCAAUGAUGUGGAGAUUGAUGAAGAGGAUCCCGAAAUCAAAGAAAGCGUUCGGUGGCUAGCCCUAGCUAGGGUUCACACCGAUAAGAAUUUCUCGCAGGCAGCCUUCUAUAAGGAUAUGAGGGCGGCCUGGAAUCCAGCGCAUCGGGUAAGAUUUCGCCCGGUCGGACCUAACAGAUUCGUUGUCCAAGCUUCAUGCCUGGGCGACUGGGAGCGGAUGAUGAUGCAAGGCCCUUGGCUCUUCCGCAACAUGGCGGUUCUGAUGUGUUCGUAUGAUGGUUUCACCAAAGCGGACGAUGUGGUUUUGCAUAUGCCCAUCUGGUUACAGAUACAUAAACUUCCGGAUCCUUACUGCAGGCAGGGUAUUGUGGAGCGGCUCCUAAAGGGGGCGGGCGAAAUCUUGGAGAUGCGUUUGAACGGCAAUACCCGCGGGUACUAUAUUAGGGUUAGGGUAAACCACGACAUCAAGCAGCCUCUUACAAAGUUUGUGAGCAUUGUUCGGGCGCAGGAGAGACAGGUUUAUCUGGUGCGGUAUGAGAAGUUGGUCCGUUUUUGCAGUUUUUGUGGUCGGAUAGGACAUGAGCAUAAGGAGUGCGGAUCUGGUGUUCAUGAUAAGCAGAAUCUCAAGUUUGGUGACUGGCUGUACGCCGAUGGCCCUAGCCGGUCGAGGCCUGAGCAAAACCCUAGCAGGGCAGAUAAACCUCGUCAGCAAAGGAAGGAUGGCAGCCCUAGUGCUCCAUUGGAUCCUGGCCUCAAGGCUACGGAUCCCGAGACUCUUGACACAGCCACAAGCCUAGUGAAGAACCCAGGUGCAAUUAUGGAGGUUGAUAGAGAUGCAAGAAAGAGAUUGAACAUGGACAGUGCUGGAGAUGAUGCUUUGAACAAACCAAAUAGUAAGGAUGCGGUUUUGGCCAUUAUGGAUGGCAGCGGUCAGGACCUAGGAGAGAAUGCCUCGCCAACGAGCAGCUCUUCUAGCAGUAAACGUGUCAAGUUCACCAAGGAUCAUGCUACCAAUGAGAGAUCGGCGGCUUCCCUCGAGGAAGACCGCCGGACGCAAUGA